GCGCCCGUAGCUCAGCGGAUAGAGUACUCGGCUACGAACCGAUUGGUCGGAGGUUCGAAUCCUCUCGGGCGCGCCA
This 76-nucleotide transfer RNA is filed under the name Lachnospiraceae bacterium. RNAcentral's name for it is "tRNA-Arg". It matches the Rfam family "tRNA". From Rfam's summary of the family: Transfer RNA (tRNA) molecules are approximately 80 nucleotides in length. Their secondary structure includes four short double-helical elements and three loops (D, anti-codon, and T loops). Further hydrogen bonds mediate the characteristic L-shaped molecular structure. tRNAs have two regions of fundamental functional importance: the anti-codon, which is responsible for specific mRNA codon recognition, and the 3' end, to which the tRNAs corresponding amino acid is attached (by aminoacyl-tRNA synthetases). tRNAs cope with the degeneracy of the genetic code in two manners: having more than one tRNA (with a specific anti-codon) for a particular amino acid; and 'wobble' base-pairing, i.e. permitting non-standard base-pairing at the 3rd anti-codon position. Lineage: Bacteria; Bacillati; Bacillota; Clostridia; Lachnospirales; Lachnospiraceae. RNAcentral also lists the same sequence under 3 other names. The record is from RNAcentral.